CUCGUGACAUCAAAUAUAAGUCAGAUCCCAACCAAAAUGGCCUCCAUUCUCAGCAUCAGAGCUCCAUCGCUGGUUUCACCCGCCAUAGUACGGCGCCGUUUGCCUCUGGUCGUGUUUUUUUCGUCGUCAGUGUAGGAUUUUCCAAUCUCUGCCCAGCUCUUCCCUCUCCCUUUUAUCUCAAAACAGGCAGCGCUCAGUCUCUCCCCUGUUCCCCUCUUAAGUUUAGUGCCCAAUCAGCAGAUAAGACCAUCCACGCCGUGAAAAUGGAAGCGAAUAGCGACACCGUUCCAAGCAUCGUCGUUUAUUACCGUUCCUAACAGAGAAGCAGGUAGGAAGUUAGCUGGAAGCAUUGUCAAAGAGAAACUUGCAGCAUGUGUAAAUAUAGUCCCAGGUAUCGAAUCAGUAUGAAUGGGAGGGAAAGAUCAACUCCGAUCCCGAGGAACUGCUCAUAAUCAAGACAAGGCAAUCUCUUCUCGAAGCUCUGACAGAGCAUGUCAAGGCAAAUCAUGAAUAUGAUGUACCAGAAGUAAUUGCAUUGCCCAUCACUGGUGGCAGCCCACAGUAUCUAAACUGGCUCAAGAACAGUACAAAGGAUUGAGUUUCUCAGAGGUGGUAUUGCUGGAAUGCUUGAAACCAUUAAGUAGUGUUUCCUUUAAGAUGCCAAAUCUCAUAUAUGGUUUGCAUGGAUAGAUGCCAUUAGGACACUAGAAUAAAGGUGGCAUGUCAUGCAUACAAUAUGAAAACUCAAAAUCGAGUUGUGAUAGGAAAAAUCGUUUUAGAGUAAGUUGCUUUGGAAGUAAGACAUGAGAUUCGAUUCGAUAAAUACAGGCACAGCUCGUUUCAA
This is a long non-coding RNA of Hibiscus syriacus, 844 nucleotides long. RefSeq lists it as uncharacterized. Lineage: Eukaryota; Viridiplantae; Streptophyta; Magnoliopsida; Malvales; Malvaceae. The record is from RefSeq and is a predicted model, not a curated record. The transcript has 6 exons.